Molecule: ribosomal RNA, 1737 nt
Filed under: Rhodococcoides fascians A73a
Lineage: Bacteria; Bacillati; Actinomycetota; Actinomycetes; Mycobacteriales; Nocardiaceae
Description: bacterial LSU rRNA
Rfam family: Bacterial large subunit ribosomal RNA
Source: RNAcentral
AGGUGUGUGGGUGGGUAGGGGAGCGUCGUGCAGCCGUGGAAGCAUCGGGGUGACCUAGGUGUGGAGGCUGUGCGAGUGAGAAUGCAGGCAUGAGUAGCGAAAGACGAGUGAGAAACUCGUCCGCCGAAUGACCAAGGGUUCCUGGGCCAGGUUAAUCCGCCCAGGGUGAGUCGGGACCUAAGACGAGGCCGACAGGCGUAGCCGAUGGACAACGGGUUGAUAUUCCCGUACCCGUGUGAACGCGCCCCUGGUGAAUCAGUGAUACUAACCGCCCUGAAUCCCGGUGACGGAUCUCUUUCGAGAGUGAUGCGCUGGGUGGAUGCGUGGGACCUGAUCUGGUAGUAGCCAAGCGAUGGGGUGACGCAGGAAGGUAGCUGAGCCAGUCAGUGGUAAUACUGGUGUAAGCCUGUAGGGCGAGACAUAGGCAAAUCCGUGUCUCAUACAGCCUGAGAGGUGAUGCGUAGCCGAUUGAGGCGAAUUCAGUGAUCCUAUGCUGCCGAGAAAAGCCUCUAGCGAGCUUUCACACGGCCCGUACCCCAAACCGACACAGGUGGUCAGGUAGAGAAUACUGAGGCGAUCGAGAUAACUAUGGUUAAGGAACUCGGCAAAAUGCCCCCGUAACUUCGGGAGAAGGGGGACCUCGUCCGGUGAUCAUCCUUGCGGUGUGAGCUGGGUGGGGUCGCAGAGACCAGUGAGAAGCGACUGUUUACUAAAAACACAGGUCCGUGCGAAGUCGUAAGACGAUGUAUACGGACUGACGCCUGCCCGGUGCUGGAAGGUUAAGAGGACCGGUCAACUGCACUUGUGUGGUGAAGCUGAGAAUUUAAGCCCCAGUAAACGGCGGUGGUAACUAUAACCAUCCUAAGGUAGCGAAAUUCCUUGUCGGGUAAGUUCCGACCUGCACGAAUGGCGUAACGACUUCUCAGCUGUCUCAACCAUAGACUCGGCGAAAUUGCAUUACGAGUAAAGAUGCUCGUUACGCGCGGCAGGACGAAAAGACCCCGGGACCUUCACUAUAGCUUGGUAUUGGUGUUCGGUUCGGUUUGUGUAGGAUAGGUGGGAGACUGUGAAGCGGUGACGCCAGUUACUGUGGAGUCGUUGUUGAAAUACCACUCUGAUCGUAUUGGAUACCUCAACCUCGGACCAUGAUCUGGUUCAGGGACAGUGCCUGGUGGGUAGUUUAACUGGGGCGGUUGCCUCCCAAAAUGUAACGGAGGCGCCCAAAGGUUCCCUCAGCCUGGUUGGCAAUCAGGUGUCGAGUGCAAGUGCACAAGGGAGCUUGACUGUGAGACUGACAGGUCGAGCAGGGACGAAAGUCGGGACUAGUGAUCCGGCACCGGCAUGUGGAAGCGGUGUCGCUCAACGGAUAAAAGGUACCCCGGGGAUAACAGGCUGAUCUUCCCCAAGAGUCCAUAUCGACGGGAUGGUUUGGCACCUCGAUGUCGGCUCGUCGCAUCCUGGGGCUGGAGUAGGUCCCAAGGGUUGGGCUGUUCGCCCAUUAAAGCGGCACGCGAGCUGGGUUUAGAACGUCGUGAGACAGUUCGGUCUCUAUCCGCCGCGCGCGUCAGAAACUUGAGGAAGGCUGUCCCUAGUACGAGAGGACCGGGACGGACGAACCUCUGGUGUGCCAGUUGUUCCACCAGGAGCACCGCUGGUUAGCUACGUUCGGAAGGGAUAACCGCUGAAAGCAUCUAAGCGGGAAGCCUGUUCCAAGAUGAGGUUUCUCACCCCCUUUGU